RNAcentral lists this long non-coding RNA (273 nucleotides) under Elaeis guineensis (African oil palm). RNAcentral describes it as "long non-coding RNA (EGUI_LNC058614)". The record is from RNAcentral. Lineage: Eukaryota; Viridiplantae; Streptophyta; Magnoliopsida; Arecales; Arecaceae.
CCUUGCAGUUCAUGAUUGAUCUAAAAUUUUAAUUUUAGAUUUAAUAAUCAGAUUAUAAAUUAGAUCUAAUCUUAAAAAUAAUCUAAGUAUGUAUAAAUAAUCAUAUAAUAAAUAACUUGGGCUCUGAUACCAAUUGACGGAACCAGAUCUAGGGUUUCAGGAUUAGAUCUUGAAAUUUUUUCAAGAUCAAGCAGCGGAAGACUAAAAUAAAUCAAAAUUUAUUUUUUAAAAUUAGAAAAUUUCUAGAUCUAAGAUUUUAUUACAUAAUUAUUA